Non-coding RNA from Heterocephalus glaber (naked mole-rat), 1101 nucleotides. NCBI's taxonomy places the organism in Eukaryota, Metazoa, Chordata, Mammalia, Rodentia, Bathyergidae. The record is from RefSeq and is a predicted model, not a curated record.
GAAAGGGUGGCACCUCGUGAUGGGAGUGGUCUGUCCAGGGGCCCCUUUUCCAGAGAACCAUGGCCUCCUACUCUUGAGUGCUUUCCUGGCCACGAAUGAUGCAGGUCCGGAUGCCAGCAUCCUGACCGACUGCACACGCUGCAGUGAAAUUCAGUGUCACCGGGAAAGCCUCCUGUGGAAGCUGGGCCGUCUGCACAGGGCUUCCCUGGCCCAGGGCAAGGACAGCCGCAGACUGCGUAACUCCAGCUGCUAAGGCAGACUCCAGAAGCUCAGCUGCCCUCCGCGCCGAGGCCGCAGUGCUGUGCAGAAGUGCACCUGGCUGCACACACUGAAGAGCAACCGGCACCGAAACACAGCGUGCUGAGGGCUGACCUCCACUCAGGAGCGAAGAGAGCGAACAAACCCCCAUGUCAGUUGGCAGAGCCUGGGCCACCUACACGUUCCGAACCUCUCGGGGCCUCAGUGUCUCUCGGUGUAUAUUUGGAAUUAAAGAUGGGCGAGACCAAAAUAUGAAACAAGGGAGCCCACCCUAGAGAAACAACCACCACUGCAGACCCCAGCGGGCUACUGUGACGUACACCGGCUUCUCUUCCUAGCGAGCCAGAAUCAUUCUGAGAGACCAGCGAUGAAGCCCACCCGGCAUACACCGCUCUGAACCCGGGAAGCGGGCAGGCUCGUCCUGCAAGUACUUAGUCCCAACGCUCACGUAUUUUACCCAGCCAACUGCUCAUUUUGCUGCGUGAACUUGCCUGUCCAACCGGAGAGUGCGCUUCUCUGUCCUCAGCAGGAGAUGGCGACAGAGCUCCACCCCAGUCCCUGAAGACUGGCUAAAAAGCAGGAACGGGGAAAAAGCGAAAAGGAAGGGAAAGGAGGAGUGGAGGGAUCAGAAAUGACUUCUGUCAACAAACUCUUAGGAAGGGAGAAAUAAAACCACUGGUUUCAGUCUUUAGAACUGAGCUCUCAUUCUAGCCCAUUGAGAAGCACAAGAGGACAAAAUGCAGAAAAACCCCUGACAUCCAAAUUUGCAACAAAUAAGUGGGAGAUACAGAAUCUAUUCCUAAUCUUAAGCCCAGAUAAAACACCACUGACUUGUUAGCCGUC